Molecule: ribosomal RNA, 253 nt
Filed under: uncultured bacterium
Lineage: Bacteria
Description: partial 16S ribosomal RNA
Rfam family: Bacterial small subunit ribosomal RNA
Source: RNAcentral
UACAGAGGUUGCAAGCGUUGUUCGGAAUCACUGGGCGUAAAGGGCGCGUAGGCGGCCAUUUAAGUCAGACGUGAACUCCCCAGGCUCAACCUGGGACCUGCAUUUGUGACUGUAUAGCUAGAGUACGGUAGAGGGGGAUGGAAUUCCGCGUGUAGCAGUGAAAUGCGUAGAGAUGCGGAGGAACACCGAUGGCGAAGGCAAUCCCCUGGACCUGUACUGACGCUCAUGCACGAAAGCGUGGGGAGCAAACAGG